GCCCUUUUCCGGUUGAUCCUGCCGGAGGCCAUUGCUAUGGGGAUCCGAUUUAGCCAUGCUAGUCGCACGAGUUUAGACUCGUGGCGGAAAGCUCAGUAACACGUGGCCAAACUACCCUCUGGACGAGCAUACUCUCGGGAAACUGAGGCUAAUACUCGAUACCGUUCCGCUGCUGGAACUGCACGGAACCGUAAACGCUCCGGCGCCAGAGGCUGUGGCUGCGGCCGAUUAGGUAGACGGUGGGGUAACGGCCCACCGUGCCAGUAAUCGGUACGGGUUGUGAGAGCAAGAGCCCGGAGACGGUAUCUGAGACAAGAUACCGGGCCCUACGGGGCGCAGCAGGCGCGAAACCUUUACACUGCACGACAGUGCGAUAAGGGGAUCCCCAGUGCGAGGGCAUAUAGUCCUCGCUUUUCAUCACCGUAGGGAGGUGAUGGAACAAGAGCUGGGCAAGACCGGUGCCAGCCGCCGCGGUAAUACCGGCAGCUCAAGUGAUGGCCGCGUUUAUUGGGCCUAAAGCGUCCGUAGCCUGCCAGGUAAGUUUAUCGGGAAAUCUACAUGCCCAACAUGUAGGCGGCCGGUGAAACCUGCCUGGCUCGGGACUGGACGGCUCGAGGGGUACGACCGGGGUAGGAGUGAAAUCCUAUAAUCCUGGUCGGACCACCGGUGGCGAAAGCGCCUCGAGAGGACAGAUCCGACGGUGAGGGACGAAAGCCAAGGUCACGAACCGGAUUAGAUACCCGGGUAGUCUUGGCCGUAAACGAUGCCCGUUAGGCGUGGCACAGGCUACGAGCCUGUGCUGUGCCGCA
Molecule: ribosomal RNA, 809 nt
Filed under: uncultured archaeon
Lineage: Archaea
Description: bacterial SSU rRNA
Rfam family: Archaeal small subunit ribosomal RNA
Source: RNAcentral